ACCGUUAGGCGAUGGAUUGCUGGGUACCCGCUUCGACGAAGAGCGCAGUGAAACGCGAUAACGCUUGUGAUUCGCACUCUCUGUGAUCAACGUCACCUCGAACAUCGAUGCGGCCUUGCCUUCGGGCACUGGCCCCCCUGGUUUGCCU
RNAcentral lists this ribosomal RNA (148 nucleotides) under Didymium iridis. RNAcentral describes it as "5.8S ribosomal RNA". It matches the Rfam family "5.8S ribosomal RNA". From Rfam's summary of the family: 5.8S ribosomal RNA (5.8S rRNA) is a component of the large subunit of the eukaryotic ribosome. The record is from Rfam by way of RNAcentral. Lineage: Eukaryota; Evosea; Eumycetozoa; Physariida; Didymiaceae.